Molecule: ribosomal RNA, 767 nt
Filed under: Bacillus sp. (in: firmicutes)
Lineage: Bacteria; Bacillati; Bacillota; Bacilli; Caryophanales; Bacillaceae
Description: bacterial SSU rRNA
Rfam family: Bacterial small subunit ribosomal RNA
Source: RNAcentral
GAAGGGAGCUUGCUCCCGGAUGUUAGCGGCGGACGGGUGAGUAACACGUGGGUAACCUGCCUGUAAGACUGGGAUAACUCCGGGAAACCGGAGCUAAUACCGGAUAGUUCCUUGAACCGCAUGGUUCAAGGAUGAAAGACGGUUUCGGCUGUCACUUACAGAUGGACCCGCGGCGCAUUAGCUAGUUGGUGGGGUAAUGGCUCACCAAGGCGACGAUGCGUAGCCGACCUGAGAGGGUGAUCGGCCACACUGGGACUGAGACACGGCCCAGACUCCUACGGGAGGCAGCAGUAGGGAAUCUUCCGCAAUGGACGAAAGUCUGACGGAGCAACGCCGCGUGAGUGAUGAAGGUUUUCGGAUCGUAAAGCUCUGUUGUUAGGGAAGAACAAGUGCGAGAGUAACUGCUCGCACCUUGACGGUACCUAACCAGAAAGCCACGGCUAACUACGUGCCAGCAGCCGCGGUAAUACGUAGGUGGCAAGCGUUGUCCGGAAUUAUUGGGCGUAAAGGGCUCGCAGGCGGUUUCUUAAGUCUGAUGUGAAAGCCCCCGGCUCAACCGGGGAGGGUCAUUGGAAACUGGGAAACUUGAGUGCAGAAGAGGAGAGUGGAAUUCCACGUGUAGCGGUGAAAUGCGUAGAGAUGUGGAGGAACACCAGUGGCGAAGGCGACUCUCUGGUCUGUAACUGACGCUGAGGAGCGAAAGCGUGGGGAGCGAACAGGAUUAGAUACCCUGGUAGUCCACGCCGUAAACGAUGAGUGCUAAGUGU